UGGGGGAUAUUGCACAAUGGGCGCAAGCCUGAUGCAGCGACGCCGCGUGGGGGAUGAAGGCCUUCGGGUUGUAAACUUCUUUUGCUCUGAACAAGGCGCACUUUGGGGUGUGUUGAGUGUAGGGGUUGAUUAGCGCCGGCUAACUACGUGCCAGCAGCCGCGGUAAUACGUAGGGCGCGAGCGUUGUCCGUAAUUAUUGGGCGUAAAGGGCUUGUAGGUGGCUGGUUGCGUCUGUCGUGAAAGGUCAUGGCUUAACUGUGGGUUUGCGGUGGGUACGGGCUGGCUUGAGUGCAGUAGGGGAGGCUGGAAUUCCUGGUGUAGCGGUGGAAUGCGCAGAUAUCAGGAGGAAUACCGGUGGCGAAGGCGGGUCUCUGGGCUGUUACUGACACUGAGGAGCGAAAGCAUGGGGAGCGAACAGG
Molecule: ribosomal RNA, 419 nt
Filed under: bacterium
Lineage: Bacteria
Description: partial 16S ribosomal RNA
Rfam family: Bacterial small subunit ribosomal RNA
Source: RNAcentral